This 253-nucleotide ribosomal RNA is filed under the name uncultured bacterium. RNAcentral's name for it is "partial 16S ribosomal RNA". It matches the Rfam family "Bacterial small subunit ribosomal RNA", at positions 524 to 776 of the family's 1533-position model. The record is from RNAcentral.
UACGUAGGGUGCAAACGUUGCUCGGAAUUAUUGGGCGUAAAGCGCACGUAGGCGGCUUUGCAAGUCGGAUGUGAAAUCCCUCGGCUCAACCAAGGAAGUGCAUCCGAAACUGCAGAGCUUGAGUACCAAAGAGGAUCGCGGAAUUCCCGGUGUAGAGGUGAAAUUCGUAGAUAUCGGGAGGAACACCAGUGGCGAAGGCGGCGAUCUGGGUGGAUACUGACGCUGAGGUGCGAAAGCGUGGGGAGCAAACAGG